This 69-nucleotide transfer RNA is filed under the name Paraglypturus tonganus (nomen nudum). Its description in RNAcentral is "tRNA-Gly". Lineage: Eukaryota; Metazoa; Arthropoda; Malacostraca; Decapoda; Callianassidae. The record is from RNAcentral.
UAUUUUUUUAGUAUAUAUUUGUACAUUAGACUUCCAAUCUGAGAGAUUAGUAAAAACUAGAAAAAAUAA